This 452-nucleotide ribosomal RNA is filed under the name Streptococcus mitis. Its description in RNAcentral is "bacterial SSU rRNA". It matches the Rfam family "Bacterial small subunit ribosomal RNA", at positions 28 to 467 of the family's 1533-position model. Lineage: Bacteria; Bacillati; Bacillota; Bacilli; Lactobacillales; Streptococcaceae. The record is from RNAcentral.
GACGAACGCUGGCGGCGUGCCUAAUACAUGCAAGUAGAACGCUGAAGGAGGAGCUUGCUUCUCUGGAUGAGUUGCGAACGGGUGAGUAACGCGUAGGUAACCUGCCUGGUAGCGGGGGAUAACUAUUGGAAACGAUAGCUAAUACCGCAUAAGAGUAGAUGUUGCAUGACAUUUGCUUAAAAGGUGCAAUUGCAUCACUACCAGAUGGACCUGCGUUGUAUUAGCUAGUUGGUGGGGUAACGGCUCACCAAGGCGACGAUACAUAGCCGACCUGAGGGGGUGAUCGGCCACACUGGGACUGAGACACGGCCCAGACUCCUACGGGAGGCAGCAGUAGGGAAUCUUCGGCAAUGGACGAAAGUCUGACCGAGCAACGCCGCGUGAGUGAAGAAGGUUUUCGGAUCGUAAAGCUCUGUUGUAAGAGAAGAACGAGUGUGAGAGGGAAAGUUCAC